GACGAACGCUGGCGGCGUGCCUAAUACAUGCAAGUAGAACGCACAGUUUAUACCGUAGCUUGCUACACCAUAGACUGUGAGUUGCGAACGGGUGAGUAACGCGUAGGUAACCUGCCUGGUAGCGGGGGGUAACUAUUGGAAACGAUAGCUAAUACCGCAUAAUAUUGAUUAUUGCAUGAUAAUUGAUUGAAAGAUGCUAUUGCAUCACUACCAGCUGGACCUGCGUUGUAUUAGCUAGUAGGUGAGGUAACGGCUCACCUAGGCGACGAUACAUAGCCGAACUGAGAGGGUGGUCGGCCACAAUGGGACCGAGACACGGCCCAGAAUCCCACGGGGGGCAGCAGUAGGGAAACUUCGGCAAUAGACGAAAGUCUGACCGAGCAACGCCGCGUGAGUGAAGGAGGUUCUCGGAUCGUAAAGCUCGGUUGUAAGAGAAGAACGGGUGUGAGAGUGGAAAGUUCACACUGUGACGGUAUCUUACCAGAAAGGGACGGCUAACUACGUG
RNAcentral lists this ribosomal RNA (505 nucleotides) under uncultured bacterium. RNAcentral's name for it is "partial 16S ribosomal RNA". It matches the Rfam family "Bacterial small subunit ribosomal RNA", at positions 28 to 507 of the family's 1533-position model. The record is from RNAcentral.